This 59-nucleotide transfer RNA is filed under the name Iphisa elegans. Its description in RNAcentral is "tRNA-His". It matches the Rfam family "tRNA". From Rfam's summary of the family: Transfer RNA (tRNA) molecules are approximately 80 nucleotides in length. Their secondary structure includes four short double-helical elements and three loops (D, anti-codon, and T loops). Lineage: Eukaryota; Metazoa; Chordata; Lepidosauria; Squamata; Gymnophthalmidae. The record is from RNAcentral.
AUAUAGUUUAACAAAAACACUAGAUUGUGAAUCUAGAAAUAAAUUCAAUUUUAUAGACC